RNAcentral lists this ribosomal RNA (253 nucleotides) under uncultured bacterium. RNAcentral describes it as "partial 16S ribosomal RNA". It matches the Rfam family "Bacterial small subunit ribosomal RNA", at positions 524 to 776 of the family's 1533-position model. The record is from RNAcentral.
UACGUAGGGUGCAAGCGUUAAUCGGAAUUACUGGGCGUAAAGCGUGCGCAGGCGGUUUUGUAAGUCUGUCGUGAAAUCCCCGGGCUCAACCUGGGAAUUGCGAUGGAGACUGCAAGGCUAGAAUCUGGCAGAGGGGGGUAGAAUUCCACGUGUAGCAGUGAAAUGCGUAGAGAUGUGGAGGAACACCGAUGGCGUAGGCAGCCCCCUGGGUCAAGAUUGACGCUCAUGCACGAAAGCGUGGGGAGCAAACAGG